Small nuclear RNA from Ailuropoda melanoleuca (giant panda), 107 nucleotides. Lineage: Eukaryota; Metazoa; Chordata; Mammalia; Carnivora; Ursidae. The record is from Ensembl.
GUGCUAGCUUUAACAGCACAUAUACUAAAAUUGGAAUGAUACAGAGAAGAUUAGCAUGCCCUCUGUGCAAGAAUGAUACACGAAUUUGUAAAAGUAUAAUUUUAUAU